AGAAUCACGAUAUGAUUUAUUGAACUGUUUAAUUUCUUUUCAAAAUUUGCAAGUUCCACAAAAUUUUUCUUUUAUUUUAGCUAGUUUUCUGCACUGCACACAAAAGUUGAUAAAUCAAUAAUGUCAAGUUGGUACUUUUAUAAUCCAAGUUUUCAUGGCCUAAUGAAUUUUAUGUCAAAAUCUUUCCACUGCAUUUAUAUAGAAAGAUUUGAUACAAUUUCAUUAUAUUUUUUCAUAUUUAGUGUGGCUGUAAAGAAGCCUGUGGG
RNAcentral lists this unclassified non-coding RNA (266 nucleotides) under Hevea brasiliensis (rubber tree). The record is from RNAcentral. Lineage: Eukaryota; Viridiplantae; Streptophyta; Magnoliopsida; Malpighiales; Euphorbiaceae.